AAGCUUUUCUGGAAGUGUGAAGAUCUCAAAGAAAAAAUGAAAAAUGGGGUUGUGGACUUGUCAGUGGCAUGCAGAACUAUAUUAGCAUUUUUCCAAGAACUUGAGUUAGACUCUCCAAGAAGCAUGGAAAAUGGGGAAGGUGGACGACUGAUAGCUCCACAGGAGGCUUGCACCCGCAUUGCCGAUGUGGUACAGGAAGCCAUAAGAAAAAUGGAAAUAGUGGCUGAUGAAAAAAAGAGGAGAUACAAAAAAGCACGAAUGGACGUGGAGGCAUUUGAGCGUGAGGUUGAGGACAAGACCAGGGAAGCAGCAGAAUUAAAGCUGGAGAAACAGAGAAA
This 338-nucleotide unclassified non-coding RNA is filed under the name Hevea brasiliensis (rubber tree). Lineage: Eukaryota; Viridiplantae; Streptophyta; Magnoliopsida; Malpighiales; Euphorbiaceae. The record is from RNAcentral.